CCUACGGGAGGCUGCAGUGGGGAAUAUUGCACAAUGGGGGAAACCCUGAUGCAGCGACGCCGCGUGAAGGAAGAAGUAUUUCGGUAUGUAAACUUCUAUCAGCAGGGAAGAAAGUGCCGGUACCUAACUAACAAGCCCCUGCUAACUCCGUUCCAGCAGCCGCGGUCAUACGUAGGGGGCACGCGUUAUCCGGCUGUACUGGGUGGAAAGGGAGCGUAGGCGGUUUGGCAAGUCAGAAGUGAAAGCCAGGUGCUCAACUCCGGGACUGCUUUUGAAACUGUUGAACUAGAUUGCAGGAGAGGUAAGUGGAAUUCCUAGUGUAGCGGUGAAAUGCGUAGAUAUUAGGAGGAACACCAGUGGCGAAGGCGGCUUACUGGACUGUAAAUGACGCUGAGGCGCGAAAGCGUGGGGAGCAAACAGGAUUAGAGACCCGGGUAGUC
RNAcentral lists this ribosomal RNA (440 nucleotides) under uncultured bacterium. Its description in RNAcentral is "partial 16S ribosomal RNA". It matches the Rfam family "Bacterial small subunit ribosomal RNA", at positions 338 to 795 of the family's 1533-position model. The record is from RNAcentral.